RNAcentral lists this non-coding RNA (227 nucleotides) under Myotis lucifugus (little brown bat). RNAcentral describes it as "Eukaryotic large subunit ribosomal RNA". It matches the Rfam family "Eukaryotic large subunit ribosomal RNA", at positions 3174 to 3399 of the family's 3401-position model. The record is from Rfam by way of RNAcentral. Lineage: Eukaryota; Metazoa; Chordata; Mammalia; Chiroptera; Vespertilionidae.
UACUAUAUGUAUAUUAUUUUAUUUAAUCUUCAGAACAACCCUAUGAUGUAGGUAAUAUUUUUAGUUCCAUUUUUCAGAUGAUGAAAGCAGGCCAGAGAAAUUAAGAAAUUUGCUCAACGUCUGCUAAACCAUUUGUAGAAGACCUGCUUCUGGGUCAGGGUUUUGUACGUAGCAGAGCAGCUCCCUUGCUGCGAUCUAUUGAAAGUCAGCCCUUGACACAAGGGUUU